Armigeres subalbatus is the source of this 1157-nucleotide long non-coding RNA. RefSeq lists it as uncharacterized. The record is from RefSeq and is a predicted model, not a curated record. NCBI's taxonomy places the organism in Eukaryota, Metazoa, Arthropoda, Insecta, Diptera, Culicidae. The transcript is spliced from 3 exons.
AAGAAAAAUAUUUGAAUUAAGUCGAGACACUGUAGACAACGAAAUACAUAUUGGUUGCGGUGGUUGAAUUUGAUGGAUUAGUACUAAAUUAUGUUAUGACAAUAAGUAAAGCCAUUUAACUAAAAAGAUCCAAAUUACAUUCUUAUAAAGAAUAAUCGAGGUACUUGAUUCUUUAUGAAAAAAUCUUUAUAUUUAGCAUAUGUCUAUCUGGUAGCCUAUAGGGAGAAGCAUCGGAUUAGAAAAUGUGUUCCUAUUGACAGAGCCCGAGUUCUGCAAGGAGAGUACACCAAUAUCGCAGCAAUCCAACAAUUUUUAUCAGAGGACUCGAGAUCUCGGAACAUCAAAAAAUUCAAUGGUCAGAAGCUCACCGAUACAAUAACCACCAUCUUAUUACCAGAAUGCCUCAUCAGAACGUUUAAUUCCUUCGAAGAGACAUGCAUACCGGCAAGCUGGAAUCAACAUAUCAUGGCCAGCACAUACUAUUCUUGACAUUGUGGAUGACAAUGGAAUCGGUCGUAGGACAGUAAUGGAGCUUUUUGGUCCACUGGAGAUGGAGACGGCAAGGAUCUGUUCGAGUAUCGAGUGUAAAUAUGCCAACGACAACGACAGCCGCUGCUAUACAACCAAAUGAUUCAACUUCAUUAUUUAGGAACUUUAUUUAGCGAUGGCGAAGACAUGUUAUACAUUUGUACAAAAUUUGUUUUUAUUUCAUUUUAUCCGUCCGGAAUUCGAUUUACGUUAGAGAAUUGAAAACCAAUGAAAGAUUGUUUUUUAUAUACCUCCACCGUUGAUUCGUUGGAAGUUAUCGCAAAACAAUGCUUUUUGUAUUGGGUUUCUAUCCGAUGGCGAAAAUCGGACUCCGGGCGGAAAUUGCAUUCCUGUAUCAUUGUUAACAUAUGAAAGAAAACACGAAAUACAUUCAUUAACAAAUAAAAUUCAACACGAUUAUACAUCAAAUUCAUUUAGAAAACAAGCGAACAUGUCAAGCCAUUCAAUCCAAAUCGAUUUGUUUUACACGUUAAUACCGUGUGGAUGGUUCAUGAACGGAUGAUGAGUUUUGAUUGAGCGAAGUCGUAAGUUUUACACAUGACAUUGAUUUGUUUUGACAAUUUGCGCAAAUGUAUGUGUAGAACACACGGUCCUCUUGUGUAUUUUUU